CCUACGGGAGGCAGCAGUGGGGAAUAUUGCACAAUGGGCGGAAGCCUGAUGCAGCGACGCCGCGUGAGGGAUGAAGGCCUUCGGGUUGUAAACCUCUUUCAGCAGGGACGAAGCGUGAGUGACGGUACCUGCAGAAGAAGCACCGGCUAACUACGUGCCAGCAGCCGCGGUAAUACGUAGGGUGCGAGCGUUGUCCGGAAUUACUGGGCGUAAGGAGUUCGUAGGCGGUUUGUCGCGUCGUUUGUGAAAACCCGGGGCUCAACUUCGGGCUUGCAGGCGAUACGGGCAGACUUGAGUGUUUCAGGGGAGACUGGAAUUCCUGGUGUAGCGGUGAAAUGCGCAGAUAUCAGGAGGAACACCGGUGGCGAAGGCGGGUCUCUGGGAAACAACUGACGCUGAGGAACGAAAGCGUGGGUAGCAAACAGGAUUAGAUACCCUGGUAGUCCACGCCGUAAACGGUGGGCGCUAGGUGUGGGUUCCUUCCACGGGAUCUGUGCCGUAGCUAACGCAUUAAGCGCCCCGCCGUGGGGAGGUACGGCCGCGAGGACGUAAACGUACAAAUAGAAGUUAGACGGCGUGAGACGUUGUCCGAACGGACGACGACGAGGGGAGGAGG
Molecule: ribosomal RNA, 616 nt
Filed under: uncultured bacterium
Lineage: Bacteria
Description: bacterial SSU rRNA
Rfam family: Bacterial small subunit ribosomal RNA (bases 1-524)
Source: RNAcentral